CUCUGUUCUGGUGGUUGUUGCUCUAAUUUCCCCCAGAAAGUCAAGAUGAAUCACAGAGGCUGGAGUCUUCGUGCUGGUACUGUAGACAGGCAGGAUGGUAGGAUCAGAGCUCUCUGAGGAGGGUUAGGUUAUGUGGGGAGGAGAGCAUUGGCUGAGUGGUGGAUGCAGCAAGGAAAGUUUUAUUUAUUGAUGUAACCAGAAAGCCACCCAUCUCUCUGCCCAUCCUUAGGGUUACCUUCUUCUUUUUCUGCUUUUGUCAUGACUCCAGCAGCACCCAGCUGAUGCCAGGGAAGUGAUUAAUGAUGGGCAUGUUUCCAAGAGGUACAUCCCAACCAGCACCCUGCCUGCCGGAAGCUGUAACUAGGAUCCUGCUUCCCAGGCCCCUUUCAAAGCUUCCCUUCCCUGUCCCUGCUGGGAUCUGGUGCUGGGAAGGGGGGAAGUUGUCUAGCUUCAGCCCAAAGUCUGGAAAUCAGGUGUGAUGGGGCAAAUACAGAUGACCACUUAAACUGCCACCUGGUAAAGGGAAGGUGAUGGGGUUCAAAUCACCAGCCCACCCUGACUUUCUUAAAGCAACUGACCUGGCAAGAACUACGUCAGUAGUUGAUGGAAAUUGUGGCAAUGAAUCUCUGCCAGACUUCAGAGAUGUCAUUUCUACUACAGAGCUGGAGUCGGGUCAGCUCUUUGGGUGCCCUCUGUACUCUGCAAAGAGCCUUUGUGGAAGCGUCUUGUGCAUGUUUGCAGCUAGAGGUGAACCCAAACAACAUGAUCAGCCUGUCCUGUCUUUGAAAUCUUGCCACAUUUCAAUCACACGCACCAGGAAUAAGGACCACUGGGACACCAGGACGAUGCAGAUUUGAUGACUGGUCAAAGAGGGUCUGUGGCAGACGUCUGUGAAAACCUCUCACUGCCUGAAAUUUUGGUUAAAACAGACCUGGCAAAUAAUGGGUCAGUGUCUGUUUAUAAAAAAAAGGUCAAGAGGCACAGCAAGAUUUUCUUGUUUUGCAUUUGUUUUAAUUUAACAGCUAAUCCAGCGUCUCCAUUAUUAUGGACGAUAAGUAAAGGCACUUCAUUUUUUUUUGUCUCCUUAGUAUCUCUACUCUGCUUUUCCCAUAGACCUCUACAAGAGCUACCAGGCAGCAUUGUCAGAUGAGGUACCGUUUUUUCCAAAGUCUUUUGUCCAGUCCAAUUAACUCAACAACAUUCUCAGGGAUCCUCACGACUGUGAUAAUUGGUGACUUUGUACUGGGAGGAGAAUGUGAACACGUUGGCACUUGUAGAGGGCUUGUAAGGGGACACCUGGGCUCUCCAGAUAAAUAUCAGACACGACAAGACAAUGGACUGGGCAAGAAAAAUGAAAAUCAUUUCAUAAAAUGUCUUCAAAACAAAAAAAAAAUCAUAAAAGAUCUUGCAACCCCAAGCACAAUAUAAAGCAAAUCUAGAAGAACUGCAUGGCACAGAGCCAAGCAAAUUUAAGGAACAAAUCUAGCAAACAAUGAAAAGUAACAGCUCUGACCAAAAACAACCAUUAAAUGUUAAAUGCCGCUCUUGUAACUGACAACACCAACAACUUUAAAGGGCUGUUUUACUAGCAUGCGUAUGUGUGUGUGGGGAAUAGUUAGCCUCUCAAAGGGUUGACUGUAAAUUUAGACUUCUUUUUUUUUUCUUUUUCUUUUUUUUUCCCCUUUAAAACUUUGUGGUAAUUGAAGGAGAAAUCUAGAGCCUAACUAAUUAGCAUCAGUGAGGAUGGCUCGCUUUGUUAAAGAUCUGCGUGGGCAUGAAGGGCUGUAGGCACCGAGUACUUGCUUCAGAGCAGCGUGGAGAGGUGAGAAAGGAGCAGUGUAGAGGGGUGAUUUUUCC
Anser brachyrhynchus (Pink-footed goose) is the source of this 1857-nucleotide long non-coding RNA. The record is from Ensembl. NCBI's taxonomy places the organism in Eukaryota, Metazoa, Chordata, Aves, Anseriformes, Anatidae.